UUACGGCCACAUCACGUUGAAACACCGCUUCCCGCAUGCUCAUAGAAGUUAAGCAACCUUGAGUCCGGUCAGCACUAGAUGGAUGACCGUUUGGGAAUACCAGGGGUUGUAAU
This is a non-coding RNA of Acanthosepion pharaonis, 113 nucleotides long. The record is from the annotation of a GenBank genome assembly. NCBI's taxonomy places the organism in Eukaryota, Metazoa, Mollusca, Cephalopoda, Sepiida, Sepiidae.